GAUGAACGCUGGCGGCGUGCUUAACACAUGCAAGUCGAACGGAAAGGCCCUGCUUUUGUGGGGUGCUCGAGUGGCGAACGGGUGAGUAACACGUGAGUAACCUGCCCUUGACUUUGGGAUAACUUCAGGAAACUGGGGCUAAUACCGGAUAGGAGCUCCUGCUGCAUGAUGGGGGUUGGAAAGUUUCGGCGGUUGGGGAUGGACUCGCGGCUUAUCAGCUUGUUGGUGGGGUAGUGGCUUACCAAGGCUUUGACGGGUAGCCGGCCUGAGAGGGUGACCGGCCACAUUGGGACUGAGAUACGGCCCAGACUCCUACGGGAGGCAGCAGUGGGGAAUAUUGCACAAUGGGCGGAAGCCUGAUGCAGCAACGCCGCGUGCGGGAUGACGGCCUUCGGGUUGUAAACCGCUUUCGCCUGUGACGAAGCGUGAGUGACGGUAAUGGGUAAAGAAGCACCGGCUAACUACGUG
RNAcentral lists this ribosomal RNA (468 nucleotides) under uncultured bacterium. RNAcentral describes it as "partial 16S ribosomal RNA". It matches the Rfam family "Bacterial small subunit ribosomal RNA", at positions 28 to 507 of the family's 1533-position model. The record is from RNAcentral.